AGUGAAUCUCCCACCUCAGCCUCCCAAGUAGCUGGGACUACAGCAAGGUUUCCAAGAAUUACGUUGGUAGGCAUUCAACUGGCAUCCUCUGGAGGUAACCAGAUGCCCAGCUGCUCCUGGAGGGGACAUAUGGAAGUGGAGUCGGUUGCCUGUGGCACAUCUUUCAGUGUGCAUUUUGGGAUUUGUGAAUGUGCUUAACCAGAAAAUGCCAGAAUACAGUCAAUCCACCAACCUGUCAGUGGUGCUCUUCUUGUGGGAUCAUGUGCAAAGUUUGAACAGGCUCAUAGGCGGAAGGACUUGCCUUGUCUCA
RNAcentral lists this long non-coding RNA (310 nucleotides) under Homo sapiens (human). RNAcentral describes it as "HSALNT0341786". Lineage: Eukaryota; Metazoa; Chordata; Mammalia; Primates; Hominidae. The record is from RNAcentral.